Triticum aestivum (bread wheat) is the source of this 136-nucleotide non-coding RNA. Lineage: Eukaryota; Viridiplantae; Streptophyta; Magnoliopsida; Poales; Poaceae. The record is from Rfam.
AAAGUACUCCCUCCGUCCCAAAAUUCUUGUAUUAGAUUUGUCUAGAUACAGAUGUAUCAAGUCACAUUUUAGUAUUAGAUACAAUCCGUAUCUAGAUAAAUCUAAGACAAGAAAUUUGGGAUAGAGGGAGUAGUUG